Molecule: ribosomal RNA, 37 nt
Filed under: Russula raoultii
Lineage: Eukaryota; Fungi; Basidiomycota; Agaricomycetes; Russulales; Russulaceae
Description: partial 28S ribosomal RNA
Source: RNAcentral
CCGAUUCAUCGGUGGGAGGCUCGACCCACAAAACGAC